This is a non-coding RNA of Misgurnus anguillicaudatus (oriental weatherfish), 327 nucleotides long. Lineage: Eukaryota; Metazoa; Chordata; Actinopteri; Cypriniformes; Cobitidae. The record is from RefSeq and is a predicted model, not a curated record.
GUUGAAACACAUCUGAUCUCAUCUGAAAGCUGAUUCCAGCUACAGGUUCAUACUGUUGUAUUCUUUUAUACUGUUAUAUUCGUACAGUUUUAAAUCAUUCAGUAAAUGCAAAGUUAAACCGAUGUGUUUUUAAUCUAGAUCUAAAAGUGUCUUCUGUUGAAACACAUCUGAUCUCUUCUGAAAGCUGAUUCCAGCUACAGGUUUAAAAGUGCCCACUGUUGAAACACAUCUGAUCUCAUUUGAAAGCUGAUUCCAGCUACAGAUCUAAAAGUGUCUUCUGUUGAAACACAUCUGAUCUCUUCUGAAAGCUGAUUCCAGCUACAGGUU